CACCGCGCGACUCCUCCGGUUCGCACGGGCAUAGCGGCGCCUCCUUCAGCAGCCUAAGCGAAGGAAAGGGAGGCGAUGCGGGCGGCCACGCGCGCGGGCUGAAGCGAGAAGAGCCGAGAGGAAGAGCAUCGCCGCGAACAGAAAUGCUGUCGAGGCUUCGGAAAGUCAGGGAGCGGAGCAAGGGCGGGCGCGUGAAGUGGGACGAGGGCGUGGUGGACCCGCCCCCCCGCCGGGCCCCCGUCACGCCCCCAAACCCCGCCCACAAAGAGAAGGCGGAAACGCUUCAUUCUCCAACGACCAAAAAUUCCAUUAAUGAUGUAAGGAUGCACCAGACGUAGGCAAAUCCAGGUGAAG
Molecule: long non-coding RNA, 354 nt
Organism: Penaeus indicus
Lineage: Eukaryota; Metazoa; Arthropoda; Malacostraca; Decapoda; Penaeidae
Exons: 3
Source: RefSeq, a predicted model, not a curated record